Molecule: long non-coding RNA, 1667 nt
Organism: Maylandia zebra (zebra mbuna)
Lineage: Eukaryota; Metazoa; Chordata; Actinopteri; Cichliformes; Cichlidae
Source: RefSeq, a predicted model, not a curated record
GUAUGGAGUGAGACAAUCCCUACACAGAUCAGGUGGGAAACAAAGCUUGAUUCUAUAAAACCCUGUGCUGUAGUUCCUUCACCCGCUCUGACUCACUGGAAGUGUUUGCACUGAUCCGCUUACGUCACUAAGACCACCACGGAUAGCUAUUCCAUUUACUCCAGUACCUUUUCCAGUGGACUGGGUCAGCGUGAGCAGGCCUUGUUGGAACAAUGUUUAUAAAAUCCUGGUGGCGGGGAGUCAGGGAGACAGCUGGGUGAUCUUCAGAAGAUACACGGACUUCUGCAGGCUCAGUGACAAGCUUCAAGAGCUUUUCCCCAGCUUUCAUCCAGCCCUGCCUCCUAAGCGCUGACUCAAAAACAGCUAUGACGAGGAGUUUCUAGAAGGGAGGAAAGCUGGACUGCAGACCUUUUUGGAGAACCUAGUGUUACACAAAGAAGUCCUCAGAAGUGAAGCUGCAAGACGCUUUCUGUGUUUGGUUGAAGCACCGAGUCCGUUUGACAGCCUGGAGGAAAGCAGGGUGAGGACACGUUUCUCUCAAAGAUAUUGUCUCAGGGGUUGAAUGUAAGGAACGUUGUGUAUCUCAAACACCCUCUGGCCUUUUGUGAGAGUCUCGAGGAAACUCACCUUCGUCUUCAGAGCGAACUCGCGGACAAGCAGAGAGAAGCCGACAGGCUGAAGAAGACUUUGGAGGAGAGAGAGAACUGUCUCAACCUGCUGCUAAAAGAAGCCAAAUCCCCGUCACUUUCUGCUGAGAGCUCUGAAGCUUCAACAAUCACCACCCCCAUAGACAGUGACACAGAGGACAUGCAGUGACUGACAUGGACAAAGAAACAAACUGUGACAGUAACAUGUGCAAGUGGUCAUCAGACAUCCUGCUGGUUCCUCUUAAACCCAAGUGCACAAGAAAGUCUAUGAUGUGACCACCGCAGUGCCGAAACAAUCAUCAGAUGCAGUUUAAUCCAACCCCUGCCAUGCAUAUGUUUAUUUGAUUCUUUUCAGGGUGUCACUAAGAGUACUACCUCAAAAUACCAAGCACAUAGAAGUCCCAUAAUGUGUAUUUACAGCAUAUUAUGCUGCCUAAUGAGGGGGGAAAAAAUCCCUAUUUAUUUUUUUAUUUCAAAGUAAUGUAUUCAAUUCAUAUCGAUGACAAUGUUUCAUUGAUCUUGAAUUUUAGUGAACACAAGCUCUUUUUGAAGCAUAGGAAAUUUGAAAAAACAGAACGACCACAAGGGGGCACUGUAACACAAUAACAGUUUGAGACAGCAAAGAUCUGAGUGAGAGGGACACUGGGAACUUGAUGUUCUGUUCUUAUCUCGCACGGGGAAAUCUCUGUAAGAUUUAAGUGCAGAGAAGCACAAAAGCAGGGGAGAGAUGUUUUCCUCUUCAGUAGUGAAUAACAGCUCGCAAUCAAUGAAGGAAGCCUGUGUGAAUGUGUGUGUGUGUGUGAGAGAGAGCUCCACAUCCAUCCAAGUAAAGCCUCAUUCAUGUGCCCCCGUUAUCACACUGAAUGGCCAUGUUGUUUCCUUUCACUCAUUCUGUUUGAGUCGCUGAAUAAACCAGAUAUGUGUGGCUUAUCCGAGGUCAUGAAGGCUACUUUUAUGCUGCCGCUGUGAGCAGGUUGGUGCUUAAUUAUUAGAUUUGUACAAUGAAAACAUUCGACUGGA